GACAGAGGGUGCAAACGUUGCUCGGAAUUACUGGGCGUAAAGCGCGUGUAGGCGGUUAGAUAAGUCGGGUGUGAAAUCCCUGGGCUCAACCUAGGAACUGCAUCCGAAACUGCCUUUCUGGAGUGAUGGAGAGGAAAGCGGAAUUCCCGGUGUAGAGGUGAAAUUCGUAGAUAUCGGGAGGAACACCAGUGGCGAAGGCGGCUUUCUGGCCAUCAACUGACGCUGAGACGCGAAAGCGUGGGGAGCAAACAGG
This 253-nucleotide ribosomal RNA is filed under the name uncultured bacterium. Its description in RNAcentral is "partial 16S ribosomal RNA". It matches the Rfam family "Bacterial small subunit ribosomal RNA", at positions 524 to 776 of the family's 1533-position model. The record is from RNAcentral.